GCCUGCGGAGGGAUCAUUGCUGGAACGCGCCCCAGGCGCACCCAGAAACCCUUUGUGAACUUAUACCUUACUGUUGCCUCGGCGCAUGCCGGCCCCCCUGGGGGCCCCUCCUUCUGGAGGAGCAGGCACGCCGGCGGCCAACCUAACUCUUGUUUUUACACUGAAACUCUGAGAAUAAAACAUAAAUGAAUCAAAACUUUCAACAACGGAUCUCUUGGUUCUGGCAUCGAUGAAGAACGCAGCGAAAUGCGAUAAGUAAUGUGAAUUGCAGAAUUCAGUGAAUCAUCGAAUCUUUGAACGCACAUUGCGCCCUCUGGUAUUCCGGAGGGCAUGCCUGUUCGAGCGUCAUUUCAACCCUCAAGCCUGGCUUGGUGAUGGGGCACUGCUUCUUACCCAAGAAGCAGGCCCUGAAAUUCAGUGGCGAGCUCGCCAGGACCCCGAGCGCAGUAGUUAAACCCUCGCUCUGGAAGGCCCUGGCGGUGCCCUGCCGUUAAACCCCCAACUUCUGAAAAUUUGACCUCGGAUCAGGUAGGAAUACCCGCUGAACUUAAGCAUAUCAAAAGCCGGAGGAA
Molecule: ribosomal RNA, 572 nt
Filed under: Diaporthe sp.
Lineage: Eukaryota; Fungi; Ascomycota; Sordariomycetes; Diaporthales; Diaporthaceae
Description: eukaryotic LSU rRNA
Rfam family: 5.8S ribosomal RNA (bases 195-348)
Source: RNAcentral